UACGGGGGGGGCGAGCGUUGCUCGGAAUUACUGGGCGUAAAGGGUCCGUAGGCGGUGCGGUAAGUCGGGAGUGAAAUCUCUGGGCUUAACUCAGAGGCUGCUUCCGAAACUACCGUGCUAGAGUGCGAGAGAGGCAAGUGGAAUUGCGGGUGUAGCGGUGAAAUGCGUAGAUAUCGGAAAGAACACCAACGGCGAAAGCACUCUGCUGGGCCGACACUGACACUGAGAGACGAAAGCUAGGGGAGCGAAUGGG
RNAcentral lists this ribosomal RNA (253 nucleotides) under uncultured bacterium. RNAcentral describes it as "partial 16S ribosomal RNA". It matches the Rfam family "Bacterial small subunit ribosomal RNA", at positions 524 to 776 of the family's 1533-position model. The record is from RNAcentral.